This 45-nucleotide non-coding RNA is filed under the name Trichobilharzia regenti. The record is from RNAcentral. Lineage: Eukaryota; Metazoa; Platyhelminthes; Trematoda; Strigeidida; Schistosomatidae.
AUACAGAAGACGAGUCUUAAAUAGGACGAAAUGUGCAUCCUGGAU